GAGUUUGAUCAUGGCUCAGAUUGAACGCUGGCGGCAGGCCUAACACAUGCAAGUCGAGCGGAUGAGAGGAGCUUGCUCCUUGAUUCAGCGGCGGACGGGUGAGGAAUACAUCGGAAUCUACCUUGUCGUGGGGGAUAACGUAGGGAAACUUACGCUAAUACCGCAUACGACCUACGGGUGAAAGCGGCGGACUCGCAAGAGCGUCGCGCGAUUGGAUGAGCCGAUGUCCGAUUAGCUAGUUGGCGGGGUAAGAGCCCACCAAGGCGACGAUCGGUAGCUGGUCUGAGAGGAUGAUCAGCCACACUGGAACUGAGACACGGUCCAGACUCCUACGGGAGGCAGCAGUGGGGAAUAUUGGACAAUGGGCGCAAGCCUGAUCCAGCCAUGCCGCGUGUGUGAAGAAGGCCUCGGUGUAAGU
RNAcentral lists this ribosomal RNA (418 nucleotides) under uncultured Gammaproteobacteria bacterium. RNAcentral's name for it is "bacterial SSU rRNA". It matches the Rfam family "Bacterial small subunit ribosomal RNA", at positions 9 to 430 of the family's 1533-position model. The record is from RNAcentral. Lineage: Bacteria; Pseudomonadati; Pseudomonadota; Gammaproteobacteria.